This 467-nucleotide ribosomal RNA is filed under the name Prevotella sp. oral taxon 314. RNAcentral describes it as "bacterial SSU rRNA". It matches the Rfam family "Bacterial small subunit ribosomal RNA", at positions 28 to 501 of the family's 1533-position model. Lineage: Bacteria; Pseudomonadati; Bacteroidota; Bacteroidia; Bacteroidales; Prevotellaceae. The record is from RNAcentral.
GAUGAACGUAGCUACAGGUUAACACAUGCAAGUCGAGGGGAAACGGCAUUGAGUGCUUGCACUCUUUGGACUCGACCGGCGCACGGUGAGUAACGCGUACAACCUUCCCAUUACUUGGGAUAACCUCCCGAAAGCAGAUAAUCCGCAUAGUCUUCGAUGACGGCAUCAGAUUGAAGUAAAGAUUAUCGUAAUGGAUGGGGAUGCGUCUGAUUAGCUUGUUGCGGGGUAACGGCCCCAAGGCGACGAUCAGUAGGGGUUCUGAGAGAAAGGUCCCCACAUUGGAACUGAGACACGGUCCAAACUCCUACGGGAGGCAGCAGUGAGGAAUAUUGGUCAAUGUGCGCGAGCCUGAACCAGCCAAGUAGCGUGCAGGUGACGGCCCUAUGGGUUGUAAACUGCUAUUGUAUGGGGAUAAAGUCAAUCACGUGUGAUGUUUGCAGGUACCUACCGAAUAAGACCGCUAUCAC